CGGCAGCACAGGAGAGCUUGCUCUCUGGGUGGCGAGUGGCGGACGGGUGAGGAAUACAUCGGAAUCUACUCUGUCGUGGGGGAUAACGUAGGGAAACUUACGCUAAUACCGCAUACGACCUACGGGUGAAAGCAGGGGAUCUUCGGACCUUGCGCGAUUGAAUGAGCCGAUGUCGGAUUAGCUAGUUGGCGGGGUAAAGGCCCACCAAGGCGACGAUCCGUAGCUGGUCUGAGAGGAUGAUCAGCCACACUGGAACUGAGACACGGUCCAGACUCCUACGGGAGGCAGCAGUGGGGAAUAUUGGACAAUGGGCGCAAGCCUGAUCCAGCCAUACCGCGUGGGUGAAGAAGGCCUUCGGGUUGUAAAGCCCUUUUGUUGGGAAAGAAAUCCAGCCGGCUAAUACCUGGUUGG
This 411-nucleotide ribosomal RNA is filed under the name Stenotrophomonas sp. 8G. RNAcentral describes it as "bacterial SSU rRNA". It matches the Rfam family "Bacterial small subunit ribosomal RNA", at positions 67 to 472 of the family's 1533-position model. Lineage: Bacteria; Pseudomonadati; Pseudomonadota; Gammaproteobacteria; Lysobacterales; Lysobacteraceae. The record is from RNAcentral.